CAGGAAAUAGUUUAUUUUAGAAAAUAUUAAUUUUGGAGAUUAAAGAAGAUAAUAUCUUUUCUGA
Molecule: transfer RNA, 64 nt
Filed under: Sphaerotheriidae sp. HYS-2012
Lineage: Eukaryota; Metazoa; Arthropoda; Diplopoda; Sphaerotheriida; Sphaerotheriidae
Description: tRNA-Pro
Source: RNAcentral